GACGAACGCUGGCGGCGUGCUUAACACAUGCAAGUCGAACGGUGAACCAGGGCUUGCCCUGGGGAUCAGUGGCGAACGGGUGAGUAACACGUGGGCAACCUGCCCCCUGACUCUGGGAUAACUCCUCGAAAGAGGUGCUAAUACCGGAUACGACCACUUCGGGCAUCCGAUGGUGGUGGAAAGAAUUUUGGUCAGGGAUGGGCCCGCGGCCUAUCAGCUUGUUGGUGGGGCAACGGCCCACCAAGGCGACGACGGGUAGCCGGCCUGAGAGGGCGACCGGCCACACUGGGACUGAGACACGGCCCAGACUCCUACGGGAGGCAGCAGUGGGGAAUAUUGCGCAAUGGGCGAAAGCCUGACGCAGCGACGCCGCGUGAGGGACGACGGGCCCUUCGGGUUGGUAAACCGUACUUUCUAGCAGGACGAAGCGAAAGUGACGGUACCUGCAGAAGAAGACACCGGCUAACUACGUG
Molecule: ribosomal RNA, 473 nt
Filed under: uncultured bacterium
Lineage: Bacteria
Description: bacterial SSU rRNA
Rfam family: Bacterial small subunit ribosomal RNA
Source: RNAcentral